This 507-nucleotide ribosomal RNA is filed under the name uncultured bacterium. RNAcentral's name for it is "bacterial SSU rRNA". It matches the Rfam family "Bacterial small subunit ribosomal RNA", at positions 1 to 507 of the family's 1533-position model. The record is from RNAcentral.
ACCGAGUUUGAUCAAUGGCUCAGAUUGAACGCUUGGCGGCAUGCUUUACACAUGCAAGUCGAACGGUAACAGGGACUUCGGUCUGCUGACGAGUGGCGAACGGGUGAGUAACAUAUCGGAACGUGCCCAGUAAUGGGGGAUAGCUCGGCGAAAGCCGGAUUAAUACCGCAUACGCCCUGAGGGGAAAGUGGGGGAUCUUCGGACCUCACGUUAUUGGAGCGGCCGAUAUCAGAUUAGCUAGUUGGUGGGGUAAAGGCCUACCAAGGCGACGAUCUGUAGCUGGUCUGAGAGGAUGAUCAGCCACACUGGGACUGAGACACGGCCCAGACUCCUACGGGAGGCAGCAGUGGGGAAUUUUGGACAAUGGGCGAAAGCCUGAUCCAGCCAUGCCGCGUGAGUGAAGAAGGCCUUCGGGUUGUAAAGCUCUUUCGGCCGGGAAGAAAUCGCACGGGUUAAUACCCUGUGUGGAUGACGGUACCGGAAUAAGAAGCACCGGCUAACUACGUG